RNAcentral lists this ribosomal RNA (795 nucleotides) under Pseudoalteromonas marina. Its description in RNAcentral is "bacterial SSU rRNA". It matches the Rfam family "Bacterial small subunit ribosomal RNA", at positions 30 to 820 of the family's 1533-position model. The record is from RNAcentral. Lineage: Bacteria; Pseudomonadati; Pseudomonadota; Gammaproteobacteria; Alteromonadales; Pseudoalteromonadaceae.
AUGACGCUGGCGGCAGGCCUAACACAUGCAAGUCGAGCGGUAACAGAAAGUAGCUUGCUACUUUGCUGACGAGCGGCGGACGGGUGAGUAAUGCUUGGGAACAUGCCUUGAGGUGGGGGACAACAGUUGGAAACGACUGCUAAUACCGCAUAAUGUCUACGGACCAAAGGGGGCUUCGGCUCUCGCCUUUAGAUUGGCCCAAGUGGGAUUAGCUAGUUGGUGAGGUAAUGGCUCACCAAGGCAACGAUCCCUAGCUGGUUUGAGAGGAUGAUCAGCCACACUGGAACUGAGACACGGUCCAGACUCCUACGGGAGGCAGCAGUGGGGAAUAUUGCACAAUGGGCGAAAGCCUGAUGCAGCCAUGCCGCGUGUGUGAAGAAGGCCUUCGGGUUGUAAAGCACUUUCAGUCAGGAGGAAAGGGUGUGAGUUAAUACCUCAUAUCUGUGACGUUACUGACAGAAGAAGCACCGGCUAACUCCGUGCCAGCAGCCGCGGUAAUACGGAGGGUGCGAGCGUUAAUCGGAAUUACUGGGCGUAAAGCGUACGCAGGCGGUUUGUUAAGCGAGAUGUGAAAGCCCCGGGCUCAACCUGGGAACUGCAUUUCGAACUGGCAAACUAGAGUGUGAUAGAGGGUGGUAGAAUUUCAGGGUAGCGGUGAAAUGCGUAGAGAUCUGAAGGAAUACCGAUGGCGAAGGCAGCCACCUGGGUCAACACUGACGCUCAUGUACGAAAGCGUGGGGAGCAAACGGGAUUAGAUACCCCGGUAGUCCACGCCGUAAACAGAUGUCUACUAGA